GACGAACGCUGGCGGCGUGCUUAACACAUGCAAGUCGAACGAAGAGCGAUGGAAGCUUGCUUCUAUCAAUCUUAGUGGCGAACGGGUGAGUAACGCGUAAUCAACCUGCCCUUCAGAGGGGGACAACAGUUGGAAACGACUGCUAAUACCGCAUACGAUCUAAUCUCGGCAUCGAGGAUAGAUGAAAGGUGGCCUCUACAUGUAAGCUAUCACUGAAGGCGGGGAUUGCGUCUGAUUAGCUAGUUGGAGGGGUAACGGCCCACCAAGGCGAUGAUCAGUAGCCGGUCUGAGAGGAUGAACGGCCACAUUGGGACUGAGACACGGCCCAGACUCCUACGGGAGGCAGCAGUGGGGAAUCUUCCGCAAUGGACGAAAGUCCGACGGAGCAACGCCGCGUGAGUGAUGACGGCCUUCGGGUUGUAAAGCUCUGUUAAUCGGGACGAAAGGCCUUCUUGCGAAUAGUGAGAAGGAUUGACGGUACCGGAAUAGAAAGCCACGGCUAACUACGUG
This 510-nucleotide ribosomal RNA is filed under the name uncultured bacterium. RNAcentral describes it as "partial 16S ribosomal RNA". It matches the Rfam family "Bacterial small subunit ribosomal RNA", at positions 28 to 507 of the family's 1533-position model. The record is from RNAcentral.